Molecule: unclassified non-coding RNA, 378 nt
Filed under: plant metagenome
Description: partial contains 5.8S ribosomal RNA, internal transcribed spacer 2, and large subunit ribosomal RNA
Rfam family: 5.8S ribosomal RNA (bases 1-105)
Source: RNAcentral
GAAAUGCGAUAAGUAAUGUGAAUUGCAGAAUUCAGUGAAUCAUCGAAUCUUUGAACACACCUUGCGCUCCUUGGUAUUCCUUGGAGCAUGCCUGUUUGAGUAUCAUGAAAUCUUCAAAGUAAAUCUUUUGUUAACUCAAUUGGUUUCUACUUUGGUAUUGGAGGUCUUUGCAGCUUCACACCUGCUCCUCCUUGUUCAUUAGCUGGAUCUCAGUGUUAUGCUUGGUUCCACUCGGCGUGAUAAGUUAUCUAUCGCUGAGGACACUGUAAAAGGUGGCCAAGGUAAAUGCAGAUGAACCGCUUCUAAUAGUCCAUUGACUUGGACAAUACUUUUAUGAUCUGAUCUCAAAUCAGGUAGGACUACCCGCUGAACUUAAGC